GCCUGGGCUGUGCACUAGCUGAUAAGAAAGACAUCAGCUUUGGGGAGCAGUGUAUUCUCUACCCCUCCAAAUCACACUGGCUGGAUUCCUGUUCUGCCUGGUGUUCUGGACACUGAUGAUGACUCUGGGCUUUCCCAGGAAGAAGCUGCCUGUGUCUGAGGGAAACAAGCUUUCUCUGAAAGUUUGAUGAAGAGUGGACGGUUGUGUAGAAAUGUGAUCAGGGAAAGAGUACGAGGUCACCACCAGAGCAUGGCUGCCAAUGAAUGGUGUAGGUCAAAACCUACUCCCAGGAACUGAACCCAGGCCACUGAAGCGGAACCUGCUCAACUUAGCUGCUAGGCCAUGGAAACGGCCCCUUGAAUAUUUUAAGCUGAAGGAAUUUGAGAAACAGCAGGUGCAGGAAAGACUCUCUAACUUCUCUCUCCUCUCUUGAAGCAUAAAUCCCUCAUGUGAGAGGAAUGCUCCCUAUACCCAGCAGAAAGGAGCAUCCUUAUCUCCGAAGACAAAGAGACACCAAGAAGAAUCCUAACAAACAGCCUCCGCAAAGUUACCCCAGUUUAUCACACCCUUUUGUCCUAUCAUAUUUUUCCACAACUUCCCACUUUUCAUCAAAUCUUCUAUUAAAAAAUGCUGAAGUUGAACUCUUUCUUCAGGUCUCCAUUUCCUUAUGAAGGCUGUUGUGUCAUGUAAACUCAUAUUAAAUAAAUUUG
This 710-nucleotide long non-coding RNA is filed under the name Equus caballus (horse). Its description in RNAcentral is "lncRNA (ENSECAG00000059899.1)". Lineage: Eukaryota; Metazoa; Chordata; Mammalia; Perissodactyla; Equidae. The record is from RNAcentral.